UUUAAGGGCUGGCAGCCAUCUCCACCUGCAGAAUGCCUUCCAGGGAGUGUGGCUUGAUGGGGUAUAAGGAUUACCAGGGCACCUCUAAUCAGUGGUAUAAGCACUGUGAAAUCUGCGGAGCAGGGAGAAGAGCGCCAGAAGCUGCGGCACGGCUGCGCGUCGAGCCAGUCGUUGUUGUUUCCACGGUCUCCGGUGCCCCCUCGUGGCCAACAGGUGGAAUUGCGGCCGUG
This is a long non-coding RNA of Tympanuchus pallidicinctus (lesser prairie-chicken), 230 nucleotides long. RefSeq lists it as uncharacterized. The transcript has 3 exons. The record is from RefSeq and is a predicted model, not a curated record. NCBI's taxonomy places the organism in Eukaryota, Metazoa, Chordata, Aves, Galliformes, Phasianidae.